CUUUUCCUAGUCCCUGAGACCCUAACUUGUGAGGUAUUUCAGUAACAUCACAAGUCAGGCUCUUGGGACCUAGGCGGAGAG
Non-coding RNA from Eptesicus fuscus (big brown bat), 81 nucleotides. RefSeq annotates it as microRNA mir-125b. The record is from RefSeq and is marked provisional. NCBI's taxonomy places the organism in Eukaryota, Metazoa, Chordata, Mammalia, Chiroptera, Vespertilionidae. The transcript has a single exon.